AUGAAGGUGGAUGAUACAUCGGGACUUGGACUUUAUAAUGUGUUAAUAGAUACACUUGAAUCUGUUGGUUUGAAUGUUCAAGAUGUUCGUGGACAAGGGUAUGACAAUGGUUCGGACAUGAAGGGGAAAAACCAAGGGGCACAGAGCAGAUUGCUUGCAACUAAUCCAAGAGCAUUGUACAUGCCGUGUGCUUGUCACAGCCUGAAUCUUACUCUUAGUGACAUGGCAAAAUCUUGCGGUAAAGCUAUAACUUUCUUUGGUGUUGUGCAAAGAAUUUACAUAUUGUUUUAA
RNAcentral lists this ribosomal RNA (291 nucleotides) under Triticum aestivum (bread wheat). Its description in RNAcentral is "partial small subunit ribosomal RNA". Lineage: Eukaryota; Viridiplantae; Streptophyta; Magnoliopsida; Poales; Poaceae. The record is from RNAcentral.